AGUGAGCGGGAUGAGCUCAAAUUUAAAAUCUGGCUGGUUUACUAGUCCGAAUUGUAGUUUAAAGAAGCGUUUUCGGUGGCAGCCUGGGUAUAAAUCCUUUGGAACAGGGUAUCAUAGAGGGUGAGAAUCCCGUCUUUGACUCAGUGCAUGCUACUAUGUGAUACGUUUUCAAAGAGUCGAGUUGUUUGGGAAUGCAGCUCAAAAUGGGUGGUAAAUUUCAUCUAAAGCUAAAUAUUGGCGAGAGACCGAUAGCGAACAAGUACCGUGAGGGAAAGAUGAAAAGAACUUUGAAAAGAGAGUUAAACAGUGCGUGAAAUUGUUGAAAGGGAAACGCUUGACACCAGUCAUGCGAGCGGAAAAUCAGUCUUUUGCAGUGGGGAGUGUGUGUGGGUUCGGACCGCAAGGCCGGCCUGCGCUUCAUCUCUGCUGUAAGUGAUGCACUUUUUCGUUUGCAGGCCAACAUCAGUUUCUUCUGCUGGACAAAACUCUUGAGAAGGUAGCAGCUUAGGCUGUGUUAUAGCUCUUGAGCGAUACAGUGGAGGAGACUGAGGUUUUCGCAGCGCGUGCUUUCGGGCAAGGCUGAUUGGGUGCUAUGGGAUCGUUCGGUGUACAAUGCAUGCAUUUUGCGCCGUGUCUUUUCUAUACUCGCUCAACUCGGCUCUUCCGCGCUUAGGAUGUUGGCUUAAUGGUUUUAAUCGACCCGUCUUG
Molecule: ribosomal RNA, 708 nt
Filed under: Mortierella alpina
Lineage: Eukaryota; Fungi; Mortierellomycota; Mortierellomycetes; Mortierellales; Mortierellaceae
Description: eukaryotic LSU rRNA
Rfam family: Eukaryotic large subunit ribosomal RNA
Source: RNAcentral